This 942-nucleotide non-coding RNA is filed under the name Oostethus manadensis (sort-tailed pipefish). RNAcentral describes it as "12S ribosomal RNA". It matches the Rfam family "Bacterial small subunit ribosomal RNA". Lineage: Eukaryota; Metazoa; Chordata; Actinopteri; Syngnathiformes; Syngnathidae. RNAcentral also lists the same sequence under 1 other name. The record is from RNAcentral.
UAAAGGUUUGGUCCUAACUUUACUGUCGACUAUAGCUAAACUUACACAUGCAAGUAUCCGCAUCCCAGUGAGAAUGCCCUUGAAGCUCUUUUGAGAUCGAGGGGCCGGUAUCAGGCACACAACAUCGCCCACUACACCUUGCUCAGCCACACCCCCAAGGGAACUCAGCAGUGAUUGAUAUUAAGCCAUAAGUGAAAACUUGACUUAGCUAAAGCUAAAUAGAGUCGGUAAAAUUCGUGCCAGCCACCGCGGUUAUACGAAAGACUCAAGCUGACAGACAACGGCGUAAAGAGUGGUUAGGAAUACCGUAAACUAAAGCCAAAUAUCUUCUUAGCUGUUUAAUGCGCUCGAAAACAAGAAGUACAAUAACGAAAGUAGCUUUAAAUCUCUGACCCCACGAAAGCUGUGAAACAAACUGGGAUUAGAUACCCCACUAUGCAUAGCUGUAAACACUGAUAUUUUAAUACAUUUAAUAUCCGCCCGGGUACUAUAAGCAUUAGCUUAAAACCCAAAGGACCUGGCGGUGCUUUACAACCUCCUAGAGGAGCCUGUUCUAGAACUGAUAACCCCCGCUCAACCUCACCCCUUCUUGCCAAUACCGCCUAUAUACCGCCGUCGUCAGCUUACCCCAUUGAGAGUUCUACAGUGAGCAAAAUUGGUAUAACCCAAAACGUCAGGUCGAGGUGUAGUACAUGAAGGGGGAAGAAAUGGGCUACAUUCGCUAAUUAGCGCACUACGAAUCACAUGUUGAAAUUACAUGUCUAAAGGAGGAUUUAGCAGUAAGAAGAAAACAGAGUAUUCUCCUGAAAUUGGCCCUAAAGCACGCACACACCGCCCGUCACUCUCCCCAACACAACAAUCAACUUAAAUAAAUAAUUAACUAACCAAAGGGGAGGCAAGUCGUAACAUGGUAAGUGUACCGGAAGGUGUACUUGGAAUAAU